Molecule: non-coding RNA, 2783 nt
Organism: Struthio camelus australis
Lineage: Eukaryota; Metazoa; Chordata; Aves; Struthioniformes; Struthionidae
Source: RefSeq, a predicted model, not a curated record
UCCUGUGAGGGCCGCUGUCACGCGUGGCUGUCGCUGCUGCUUGCGGCGUUGUGCCCAGGGGAAGGUUCAUGUGCUUGCCUAAAUCAGACACACGGGAUUGGCGAACCUUCCGGCUGCUAGGAGCAGCGGCAAGAGGAGGAGUGUUGCCAGCAUGAGGACGAGCAAGGGAUGGCGAUGCUUGCAACCUAUGGCUGAACUGGAGAAUGGAGCAGCUUUAAUAGUGGAGGCUAAGAAGAACCCUCUUUCAAGGAUAUCUACCCAGGUGGCUAGACCACUCUUAGGAGGCGCCAAAAUACUGUUUUCCUCUUUCCCAUGGAAGAAUUUGAACUGAACUUGGACCUUCCACACACGCACCUGAUUGGAAGAAAACUACGGAGUUGGUGGAUAAAAGGCACAACUGCCAUUUUGUUUGGGCCUAGUCUGGCAUGAAUAAGGAAUGAAGUGAGAAAGUAGCAGAUGAAUCAACAGAAGUCAGGGUAAGUCACCUGUGCUUUAGCAAACUCCAGAACAAGACAUAACGCCAUUUAAAAAUUGAAAGACCAAAAAAAAAAAAAAAAUUGGACAGUCCUCUAUUAUCAGCUUUCCAUCUUUCAGCUAAAUGUCUCAGUUAAGGAAGAGUUGAUUUAUGCCAAUAUUCAUAAUCAGUAACUUAAGAUCACAGAGGUUCCAACAGAAGUUCUAAUAUUGAUGUUUCUGGUUACUUAAACAUUACAGUAGUUUCUUAAGACCCAGCAGAACAUUCCUUUUUGUCAGAUUCUUGAUAACAGUAACUCUUUGGCCUUUUCAUUCAUUAAAAGAAUGACAAGAAAGGCAUUUUUCCAUGUGCAUGUUCACAUUUCCACUUCUUGACACCUUUACUAGGCAGUCUUAAAAGUAAGUUUUUAGGCCAGACUCAGACUUAUCCCUCUGUUUUAUUCCUCAGAACCACUACAGAGAAGCUAUAUGGAGAUCAGAAAACAUGAAAGGCACAAACCAAUUAUCUGAAACACAGAAUUUCUAUCCCCUGUAAAGACGUGAAGAUCAUAAGACCGUUUAUUUUCUUCAUCAUAGUUAUUAUGUAAAAAUUAGUUUCAAAGUAGUAAACAUUCUAAAAAUUAAUCAGGAAGAGGUAUUCUCCUACCUAAUCCCUUUUUUUUAAAAAAAGCACUUCCAAAAAUAAACUCUAAAAACAUGCCAGCACCUCAACUCUCUGCUUAUUCCAAUGAAAGUCCUUUUCUUUUGAAAUCCUUUUCAGGUCCUAAAGCAAGCAGUCGAAAUUAGAAGUCCUAAAUCACAUUUCUUUCUUUGGAUCUUUUAAUCUAAACUACAUAAUUAAGUAAGAGAAGCAAACACUUCAGCUGAAAUUGGCUUUUUGUUUUAUGGUCCACUGCUCUCACUACAUGCAAUAUUUUAUCAUAUUAAAAGGUAAGUAUAACUCUGAACUAUGUUGCCCAUGUAAAUUCCCAACCCUCAAUUUCAAUUUGAAAUUUUUUGGAUUUCAAAAAAACCCAGCAACCUCAGAUUCUUGUUCUCCCUGUAGCAGAACAGCAUGUGCGGCACAAACCUAAAUGCCUCUCAGUUCAUUCAUUGUUGGGUGUUCCUAGUAUGAUACACGACUUUCUACAGGAGCACAAGUAAUGGAAUAUUUACAGACAAAAAAAAAUUUCCAGUGUGCAGAAGGUAAGGAGUACUGGUUGCUGUGUUCCUCAAUCUUGAAUUAUGUCAAUACUCGUAAACUGAAUAAUACCAGAGCCUACUUUAUUUCUGAGGCAAAUUGCCAGGUCUGGCCCUGUCCAUAUUAUUAAACUCUUUUAACUACCAAAACGGGCUGCAUCUAAACUGCCAACUGGGGCUGCGCUAGCCCAUGAACUAUGCCAGAGACUGCUUGGGAGAAAGCUGGUUGGCCUGGGCCGAAAGCAGGGACUAUGGGGACAAUUUAAUAGUGUAGGUAGCUGUGUUCAAGUGCCUAGUCCCGAGCCCUGGCACUGUUUAAUUUGCUAGUAUAGUCGUAGCCCUCGUGAUUCACAACCAGCAAUCUCAAGUAAAGGGAUGUGCACUCAGAAUGCACUUAAAACAAAAAGGUCGCCGUUGUCAUUUACUUCUAAAAGGCAGAUCUCAAGUCUUUCUACUGAGAAUAUGGACUGAGCCUGUUACUGUACAUAUCCAAAACAGAUGUGCUUUUUAAGGAAGCUUUAGAGGCUGAGCUAAAUCCUAGCUUGUUUGUAAUAAACGCUAAUACGUGUGAGUACUUUUUUGCCCAGCCUCCAAAUUAUUCGAUCCCUCAGUUUGUUCAGCAAAUAAAGACACAGCUCUGAAACGCUUGACAUUUUUAAUAAAAGGAGGACUUGAAGUUUGUGGUCUGGUUUUCCCUUGACCAGUGUAUGAUUUAGUAAAAAUACUGACAGGUAAUUAUAUAUAUCAAAUAUAUACACCAUAUGUGGCAUUUGAUAUAUAUCAAAAUAUUGCUAUAUAAUUUGAUACAGGUCUGUAAAUAUUGUUGUCAAGAAUUUGGGGUGAGGAUCUUAGGCUGAAGGAAUACUGAAUAGAUAGAGCCCGUGAUAGCUUGCAUUUUCCUAGUCCUUCUAGUUGAUGAAAAUCCCAUGACAACCUCAGAUGUAGGGCACCUGAGAUUCAAAUAAUUGAUCCCACAAGCUUUUCAGGACCACAUUACAGUUAUUUGGAGAAGUAAGUGUCUCUUGUUGAUGGAAAACAACAUAAAACUGCUGAGAACUUGAAAGAAAACAAUGGUACCUUAAAUGGAGAUAAACAUAAAUUAGCGGUUGUCAGGGACGUUCAUAAUAUGU